This 1437-nucleotide ribosomal RNA is filed under the name uncultured prokaryote. RNAcentral describes it as "partial 16S ribosomal RNA". It matches the Rfam family "Bacterial small subunit ribosomal RNA". The record is from RNAcentral.
ACGAUGAACGCUAACGGCAGGCUUAACACAUGCAAGUCGAGGGGUAACGAUGGUUUCGGCCAGGCGACGACCGGCGCACGGGUGAGUAACGCGUAUGCAACCUACCUUUAACUGAGGCAUAGCUUGGAGAGAUCGGAAUUAAUACCUCAUAAUAUUUUUUAAUCACAUGAUUUUAAAAUUAAAGUUCUUUGGUUCGGUUAAAGAUGGGCAUGCGUCCCAUUAGCUUGUUGGUGAGGUAACGGCUCACCAAGGCAACGAUGGGUAGGGGGUCUGAGAGGAUGAUCCCCCACACUGGUACUGAGAUACGGACCAGACUCCUACGGGAGGCAGCAGUGGGGAAUAUUGGGCAAUGAAGGCAACUCUGACCCAGCCAUGCCGCGUGCAGGAUGAAGGCCCUCCGGGUCGUAAACUGCUUUUAUAUGGGGAAGAACACGUUUCGUUUUGGAAAACGUGUCGGUACCGUACGAAUAAGGAUCGGCUAACUCCGUGCCAGCAGCCGCGGUAAUACGGAGGAUCCAAGCGUUAUCCGGAUUUAUUAGGUUUAAAGGGUGCGCAGGCGGGAAGAUAAGUCAGCGGUGAAAUCCUGUAGCUCAACUACAGAACUGCCGUUGAUACUGUUUUUCUUGAGUUCGGUUGAGGUAAGCGGAAUGUGUAGUGUAGCGGUGAAAUGCUUAGAUAUUACACAGAACACCAAUUGCGAAGGCAGCUUACUAAACCGUUACUGACGCUGAGGCACGAAAGCGUGGGGAGCGAACAGGAUUAGAUACCCUGGUAGUCCACGCCGUAAACGAUGAUUACUCGUUGUGUGCAAUAUACUGUACGUGACUGAGCGAAAGCAUUAAGUAAUCCACCUGGGGAGUACGUCGGCAACGAUGAAACUCAAAGGAAUUGACGGGGGCCCGCACAAGCGGAGGAACAUGUGGUUUAAUUCGAUGAUACGCGAGGAACCUUACCCGGGCUUAAAUAGAGCAACACUUCGGUGGAAACUGGUAUUCCCUUCGGGGCGCACUACAAGGUGCUGCAUGGUUGUCGUCAGCUCGUGCCGUGAGGUGUCGGGUUAAGUCCCAUAACGAGCGCAACCCCUAUCACUAGUUGCCAGCGAGUAAUGUCGGGGACUCUAGUGAGACUGCCGGUGUAAACCGUGAGGAAGGUGGGGAUGACGUCAAAUCAGCACGGCCCUUAUGUCCAGGGCUACACACGUGUUACAAUGGUCGAUACAAAGGGCAGCUACCUGGUGACAGGAUGCUAAUCUCGAAAGUCGAUCUCAGUUCGGAUCGAAGUCUGCAAUUCGACUUCGUGAAGUUGGAUUCGCUAGUAAUCGUAUAUCAGCAAUGAUACGGUGAAACGUUCCCGGGCGUUGUACUCACCGCCCGUUCAGGCGAUUCUGCGCCGCAAUAUUCGCAGACAAUCCGGGAAGGGAAAUAUUUUUUUUUUUUU